This 314-nucleotide small nuclear RNA is filed under the name Octodon degus (degu). Its description in RNAcentral is "7SK RNA (ENSODEG00000024500.1)". The stretch from base 1 to 282 matches the Rfam family "7SK RNA". Rfam says of the family: 7SK was discovered as an abundant small nuclear RNA in the mid-70s but a possible function has only recently been suggested. Two independent studies have found that 7SK RNA binds the CDK9/cyclin T complex (known as elongation factor P-TEFb). The record is from RNAcentral. Lineage: Eukaryota; Metazoa; Chordata; Mammalia; Rodentia; Octodontidae.
GGAUGUGAAGGUGAUCUGGCUACAACAUCUGUCACCCCAUUGAUCGCCAUUGAUUCAGCUGAUCUGGUUGGCUAGGUGGGUGUCACCUUUCUCCCUCAACGAUACAUUGUGCAUCCUUCCCGAAGCUGUGCACUCGGUCAAAGACGACCACCACCCCCAAUAGAGGAGGACCAUUCCUUGAUCAAGGGUAUAGGAGUAGCUGCGUGCUGCCUGCUAGAACCUCCAAACAAGCUCUCACGAACACAUUGUCAAAGUUAGACCUGAUCUCAAUAUUAAAGAAAAGGGAUUCAGUACAUUUCUCAGAAAAUUAAAUU